GACGAACGCUGGCGGCGUGCCUAACACAUGCAAGUCGAACGGAAAGGCCCUGCUCUUGUGGGGUUCUCGAGUGGCGAACGGGGGAGUAACACGUGAGUAACCUCCCCUUGACUUUGGGAGAACUUCAGGAAACUGGGGCGAAUAUCGGAUAUGAUCUCCUGCUGCAUGGUGUUCGUUGGAAAGUUGCGGCGGUUGGGGAUGUACUCGCGGCUUAUGAGCUUGUUGGUGGGGUAGUGGCUUACCAAGGCUUUGACGGCUAGCCGGCCUGGGAGGGUGACCGGCCACAUUGGGCCUGAGAUACGGCCCAGACUGCUACGGGAGGCAGCAGUGGGGAGUAUUGCACAAUGGGCGGGAGCCUGAUGCAGAGACGCCGGGUGCGGGAUGACGGCUUUCGGGUUGUAAACCGCUUUCGCCUGUGACGAAGCGUGAGUGACGGUAAUGGGUCAAGAAGCACCGGCUAACUACGUG
RNAcentral lists this ribosomal RNA (468 nucleotides) under uncultured bacterium. RNAcentral's name for it is "partial 16S ribosomal RNA". It matches the Rfam family "Bacterial small subunit ribosomal RNA", at positions 28 to 507 of the family's 1533-position model. The record is from RNAcentral.